This 254-nucleotide ribosomal RNA is filed under the name uncultured bacterium. Its description in RNAcentral is "partial 16S ribosomal RNA". It matches the Rfam family "Bacterial small subunit ribosomal RNA", at positions 524 to 776 of the family's 1533-position model. The record is from RNAcentral.
GACAGAGGUGCCGAGCGUUAGGCGGAAUCACUGGGCUUAAAGCGUGUGUAGGCGGAUGGGUAAGUACCUUGUGAAAUCCCACGGCUCAACCCGUGGAACUGCUCGGUAUACUGCUCGUCUUGAGCCAACUAGGGGCGACCGGAACAAACGGUGGAGCGGUGAAAUGCGUAGAUAUCGUUUGGAACGCCGAUGGUGAAAACAGGUCGCUGGGGUUGUGCUGACGCUGAGACACGAAAGCCAGGGGAGCGAACGGG